UACGAAGGGGGCUAGCGUUGUUCGGAAUUACUGGGCGUAAAGCGCGCGCAGGCGGUCCUUUAAGUCGGGGGUGAAAGCCCAGAGCUCAACUCUGGAACUGCCUUCGAAACUAGAGGACUUGGGUACGGGAGAGGUGAGUGGAAUUCCGAGUGUAGAGGUGAAAUUCGUAGAUAUUGGGAAGAACACCAGUGGCGAAGGCGGCUCACUGGCCCGUAACUGACGCUGAGGUGCGAAAGCGUGGGGAGCAAACAGG
Molecule: ribosomal RNA, 253 nt
Filed under: uncultured bacterium
Lineage: Bacteria
Description: partial 16S ribosomal RNA
Rfam family: Bacterial small subunit ribosomal RNA
Source: RNAcentral